AACGGCCGCGGGAUCCUACACCGUGCAAAGGUAGCAUAAUCACUUGUCACCUAAAUAGUGACUAGUAUGAAUGGCCAAAUGAGGACUUACCUGUCUCUUAUAACCAAUCUAUGAAACUGAUCUCUCAGUACAAAAGCUGAGAUAAACACACAAGACGAAAAGACCCUGUGGAACUUACAAGUGUCAACCAACAACAUGGAACAACCACUUUUAGUUGGGGCAACUUUGGAACAAAACAAAACUUCCAAUUUAGGCAAACAUAAAAAUUCAAAUAGGUAUACACACCAAAUCUGAACAGCCAUUAUCGACCCAGUAUUACUGAUAAAAGAAACAAGCUACCCCAGGGAUAACAGCGCCAUCCCCUCUUAGAGUCCCCAUCGACGAGCGGGGCUUACGACCUCGAUGUUGGAUCAGGGCCCCCAAACAGUGCAGCAGCUGUUAAAGGUUUGUUUGUUCAACAAUUAAUG
RNAcentral lists this ribosomal RNA (467 nucleotides) under Dicrodon guttulatum. Its description in RNAcentral is "partial 16S ribosomal RNA". It matches the Rfam family "Bacterial large subunit ribosomal RNA", at positions 1926 to 2593 of the family's 2925-position model. Lineage: Eukaryota; Metazoa; Chordata; Lepidosauria; Squamata; Teiidae. The record is from RNAcentral.